RNAcentral lists this ribosomal RNA (468 nucleotides) under uncultured bacterium. RNAcentral describes it as "bacterial SSU rRNA". It matches the Rfam family "Bacterial small subunit ribosomal RNA", at positions 28 to 507 of the family's 1533-position model. The record is from RNAcentral.
GAUGAACGCUAGCGGCAGGCCUAAUACAUGCAAGUCAAGGGGAUAGCAAUAUCACCGGCGGACGGGUGCGUAACGCGUACACAACGUGCCCAAGGGCGGAGGAAAGCGGCGGGAAACUGCCGGUAAUACUCCAUGGUGUUGUUGAGUGGCAUCACUUAACAACUAAAGUACAAGCGCCCUUGGAUCGGUGUGCGUUCGAUUAGCUAGUUGGCGGGGUAACGGCCCACCAAGGCUUCGAUCGAUAGGGGGUGUGAGAGCAUGACUCCCCACACGGGUACUGAGACACGGACCCGACUCCUACGGGAGGCAGCAGUAAGGAAUAUUGGACAAUGGGCGGAAGCCUGAUCCAGCCAUGCCGCGUGAAGGACGAAGGCGCUCAGCGUUGUAAACUUCUUUUGGAUGGGAACAAUAACUCCGACUUGUCGGAACUUGAGGGUACCAUCAGAAUAAGCACCGGCUAACUCCGUG